GCGGCAAGCUUAACACAUGCAAGUCGAACGGAUUAUUCUUUAUAGCUUGCUAUGGAGGAUAAUUAGUGGCAGACGGGUGAGUAAUGCAUAGGAAUCUACCUAGUAGUAUGGGAUAGCCACUAGAAAUGGUGGGUAAUACUGUAUAAUCCCUGCGGGGGAAAGAUUUAUCGCUAUUAGAUGAGCCUAUGUUAGAUUAGCUAGUUGGUAGGGUAAAGGCCUACCAAGGCGA
Molecule: ribosomal RNA, 229 nt
Filed under: Anaplasma phagocytophilum
Lineage: Bacteria; Pseudomonadati; Pseudomonadota; Alphaproteobacteria; Rickettsiales; Anaplasmataceae
Description: partial 16S ribosomal RNA
Rfam family: Bacterial small subunit ribosomal RNA
Source: RNAcentral